CAAACACCAUUCCAGUAAUCAGGACAGCCUGAAUCACGCCGUGUUCCUGUACUGUGGUUAAAUUGCUAAAUAAUGUGCAACGUAGAAGAAUACGAUCACAUACCGAGCUGAUGAGUCAGUUAUGUGUGGAGGAUUUCUUUAAAAAGGUGGCCGUGGUGCACUAGUGCAUCCACAGCUUGAGAGCGUCAGUCGUUUCUUCCUUUUCCUUCUAGAGUUCAUUUCUUUCACUGUUAGCAAUCACAGGAGAUCAUGAAGGUCGCGCUCAUUGCGGUGUGUCUUAUUGGACUGGUCUGUGCUGUCCCUGUGGACGAUAAGCACGAGCGAGAGAAGCGUUCAUCCAGCGAAGAGAUGGUUCGUGGGUAUAGAAGACGGUUCCCAGGGUAUGGAACACAGUUCCCAGGGUACUGGCCAGCUUACUAUCCCAACAACAACAACAAUCUUCUGAAUGUUCUGCUGCCCUUUUUACUGCUGUCUCUGCGUCCCCCUACUGUCGCCACAAAUACGACUGUAGGAUGAGUAACACGCACGGUUCAAAUGUGUUUUAGGAUUAACACAUGAACAAAUUUCACCGUGAUUAUCAAUUUAAUCUGUUGUUAAACUCUCAGACUGCAAUGGCACAAUAAAAAUUUAUUGUCAAAAAA
Molecule: long non-coding RNA, 641 nt
Organism: Ictalurus punctatus (channel catfish)
Lineage: Eukaryota; Metazoa; Chordata; Actinopteri; Siluriformes; Ictaluridae
Source: Ensembl